This 302-nucleotide long non-coding RNA is filed under the name Chinchilla lanigera (long-tailed chinchilla). RNAcentral's name for it is "lncRNA (ENSCLAG00000025184.1)". The record is from RNAcentral. Lineage: Eukaryota; Metazoa; Chordata; Mammalia; Rodentia; Chinchillidae.
CACCUCCUAACUCCAGUGACUGCUUCCACUCAUUAUGAAACCAUGGAGUUGAUAGAAUCCCGGAUGGAGCAUCUUCCCGCCUACCUCCUUGCUCUAGCUUGCAACUGCCUUGAUUUACCUUCCUAAAUGACUGAAAAAGAAUAAAAGCUACUACAGAAGAUCACAUGUAUCAGGAUUUGUAUUCUGAGAAAUAAACUAAGGAAGAGGAGUGACUGUUAUCAGUUUCAGAAAAAGCUACCAUCUCUUGCCUUUCCUGAGACUAGCUAAGUAUGGUAUGUUUAGAACCUAAUAUUCUAAAUGCU